Papio anubis (olive baboon) is the source of this 157-nucleotide unclassified non-coding RNA. It matches the Rfam family "Metazoan signal recognition particle RNA". From Rfam's summary of the family: The signal recognition particle (SRP) is a universally conserved ribonucleoprotein. It is involved in the co-translational targeting of proteins to membranes. Lineage: Eukaryota; Metazoa; Chordata; Mammalia; Primates; Cercopithecidae. The record is from Ensembl.
UGCCAACCGGGUGUCUGCACUAAGCUCGGCAUGAAUAUGGUGACCUCCUGGGAGCAGGGGGCCACCAGGUUGCCUAAGGAUGAGUGAACUGGCCCAGAUCAGAAAGGGAGCAGUUCAGAACUCUGGCACCGACUGGUAGCAGGACUGUGCCUGGGCA